AAAGGAAACACACAUGACCUUAGUUAGUAAACCACAGCCAACAUACAUUACAUAGAAGUACAAAGACAGAUAUUUUUACAAAUGGGAAACUACGAAAUACGACAUGAUCUCCUCGAUGCAAUGACAACGUCUAAGCAAUCUUGUUGGACUUGCUUGAUGCCGCACCAUCAUCGAUUUCAAUUUCGGCAGGCUUCAGAUUGUUAACACCCCUUCUUCGUCCGUCCGCUUGGACAUCUCUAACCGUUCAUCGUAAUCCUCCAAGAUGGCAUUAGCAAUCGUAGGCUUCACUGGUUCCUCCCACGGCAUCAGACGUGUCAUGCUGGAAUCUACGGCAGCGAAUAACUCCUUGAAUGCCGAAGGUUGGUUUUCGUUGUGCACAUGAGGAACCAUAAGCUGUCAAUUGGUCAAUAAAAAAGUUUACAUGUUAAUUUAUCAGUAGGUAGGAAAUGCAGCAUGUAACCAUGCACCUAAAAGAUUAAUACCUUUGCACAUUUUAUGUCAGUUUUAACACAAUAAAAAAAUUCAUAAAAUAUAUAAUAAACCUAGCAUAAUCAGUAAGCAAUACCAAAUUUGAAAGAACUAACCAUGUAAGAACGAAACUAUAAACGACGAACGAUUUCUUCAUAGACUACAUUCCUUGUGAUUGGCGAAUGUUCUCCGUUCUCAUCUUCAAUUAAGAAUUUUAGACCCUUCCGGAACUGCACAAAGGGUCAAAAGCAUACCAACCAGAAUUGGAAUUGAGGAAAUCGCUCAUACAAAAAAAGGAAUCAACAUAUGUGGAACCAAACAAAAUUUAGAUGCUUCUAAAACAAAAUUUUGUUGGAAAAAAUUGUAUAGAAAAACUUAUUUGAAAUCUGCCCAAAAACUAGACAAAUAACAAAAAAAACGAAAAAAACAAUGCAGCUGGCCCGGCGCGCGAAGCUGCUGGCCUCGGCCUACCGCAG
RNAcentral lists this long non-coding RNA (944 nucleotides) under Triticum aestivum (bread wheat). Its description in RNAcentral is "long non-coding RNA (TAES_LNC027596)". The record is from RNAcentral. Lineage: Eukaryota; Viridiplantae; Streptophyta; Magnoliopsida; Poales; Poaceae.